GUAAUCUUCCUCCUUUCAACAAAAGCAGACUGGGUGGGGCUAAUGAUCUUGGGAAACAAGCCUUUGAUCCUAUUAGCAAUCUACUUGGUAAAUACACUUAUAGAUUGUAUUGAAGCAGGAAAUAGGCUGAAAAUCUCCCAUGACUGUAGGAUUAGGCACUUUCGGCACCAAAACAAUGAUAGUGGAGUCUCUUAGACGUGAAGCAAAGAAAGACUUUUUAGUUUUUAUGGCUUCUAUUACAUCCUGAUUCACAAUCUCCCAAGCACUUUUGAAGAAGUGGGCAGAAUACCCAUCGGGGCCCGGGGCCUUGUUACUGUUAAGGGAGAACAUAUUUCUUUUAAU
Molecule: long non-coding RNA, 342 nt
Filed under: Citrus x clementina
Lineage: Eukaryota; Viridiplantae; Streptophyta; Magnoliopsida; Sapindales; Rutaceae
Description: Citrus clementina (C. clementina) long non-coding RNA (CCLE_LNC000805)
Source: RNAcentral